CAGCCGCCGCGGUAAUACCGGCGGCCCGAGUGGCGGUCACUAUUAUUUGGCUUAAAGCGUCCGUAGCCGGGUUGGGAAGUCCUCCGGGAAAUCUGGCCGCUUAACGGUCAGAAUGCCGGAGGAUACUCCCAGCCUAGGGAGCGGGAGAGGCCGAGGGUAUUCCCGGAGUAGGGGGGAAAUCCUAUAAUCCCGGGAGGACCACCUGCGGCGAAGGCGCUCGGCUGGAACGCGUCCGACGGUGAGGGACGAAGGCCAGGGGAGCAAACCGGAUUAGAUACCCGGGUAGUCCUGGCUGUAAACGAUGCGGACUUUGUGUCGGACAAGCUAUGAGCUUGUCCGGUGCCGGAGGGAAACCGUUAAGUCCGCCGCCUGGGGAGUACGGCCGCAAGGCUGAAACUUAAAGGAAUUGGCGGG
RNAcentral lists this ribosomal RNA (414 nucleotides) under uncultured microorganism. RNAcentral's name for it is "bacterial SSU rRNA". It matches the Rfam family "Archaeal small subunit ribosomal RNA", at positions 459 to 872 of the family's 1478-position model. The record is from RNAcentral.